UCUCUAAAGUGUUAUUUUUAGAUACUUGUAUUUCUCAUUGAUUUGUCUUUAUAUCCUCUAACAUUGUAUGAUUGUAUUUCUCAGAUCUGCCGCCGUGAUUGAGUUGCUGUUUUUGUGUCUUUUAGAGGGUUGGGUGGUAGUUUUGUGGCUUUAUAUCCUCCUAGUGUAGUUUUGGUAUCCAUGGGUGUAUGCUAGAGGGUAAGGUUUUUUUUGGGAGAUGCAACGGGUAAUUUUUUGUACCUCUUGGAGAUCGAAGGUGUUUUGGUACCAUGAGCCAACAAGUUUUGGAGGACUACUACAAAGUUUUGGAGGUUGAUGAUGAUGCAACUGAGGAAAAUAUCAGAUUGAAUUACCUAAGGCUUCCACUGCAACAUUGGUGAACAAGUUCACUGAAAUUGUGAGAUGGAAGUUGAGGAACAAAUUUCACUAUAAGGUAUUAAUCCCACUGAAGAGGAUAAUGAGAGUUGAGCUAAGUGAGAAUGUAAGGAAGCCAUGAAUGGUGUACAUAGAAGGGAAAAAGUAAGGAAGCCAUGCAUGACACGUUGCCACUCUCUCAAUUAAUAGAUCAUAUUUGUCUAUUUAUGUUCUGGUUUAUAUAUCAGUGCAUUGGUUGGGUUGCCGCCUAAGUGAGAAUGUAAGGAAGUCAUGAAUGGUGUACAUAGAAGGGAAAAAGUAAGGAAGCCAUGCAUGACACGUUGCCACUCUCUCAAUUAAUAGAUCAUAUUUGUCUAUUUAUG
Juglans regia (Persian walnut) is the source of this 737-nucleotide long non-coding RNA. RefSeq lists it as uncharacterized. Lineage: Eukaryota; Viridiplantae; Streptophyta; Magnoliopsida; Fagales; Juglandaceae. The record is from RefSeq and is a predicted model, not a curated record. The transcript has 3 exons.